This 692-nucleotide long non-coding RNA is filed under the name Rattus norvegicus (Norway rat). RNAcentral's name for it is "long non-coding RNA NONRATT030645". The record is from RNAcentral. Lineage: Eukaryota; Metazoa; Chordata; Mammalia; Rodentia; Muridae.
GCAGCCCCCAGACCGCUGGCUCUCUAAUUCUCACACCAAGCCUUGUUACUGGAUGCAGAACGGGUUCAGUUUGGGCCCGUAGUCGCCCUCAAUCCUGCCACCUUGCUUCCUCUACCUGAGGAGGCAGAACAGCAUGACUGCCUAAGUACAUGGAACCAGGCCGGACCUAUCGGACCAGCCUCUUCAGAAUGCUGACCACACAUGGUACACGGAUGACAACAGCUUCUUGACAGAGGGAGAGCGAAAGGCUGGAGCUGCGGUCACUACGGAGGACAAAGUGAUUUGGGCGAGAGCCCUGCCUGCUGGUACCUCCGCACAACGGGCUGAACUCAUCGCCUUGACUCAGGCGCUCAAGAUGACAAAAGGUAAGAGGCUAAAUAUAUAUAUACAGACAGCCGUUAUGCCUUUGCCACGGCACACAUCCACGGGGAGAUCUACCGGAGGCGGGGGCUGCUCACAUCUGAGGGUAAAGAUAUGGCUAAAAUUCUGGCCCUCUUAAAAGCCCUAUUCUUGCCCAAAAGACUGAAUAUUAUACAUUGUCCAGGACACCAGAAAGGGCACAACCCAGAGGCACGAAGAAACCGGCUGGCCGAUGCCACGGCGCGAGAAGCAGCCAUGAACAAACAAAUCUUGCCCUUAAAUAGCCCAGACCAACCCACGCCCCCACCAGUGGGACAAACCAGUUGGGUUUA